UCCUCUUUACAGAGGCAGUUUGUUUCGAGUUCCCGGCUUUCCGGUAUAUGUCAAACCCAGGUAAGGUUCUUCGCGUUGCAUCGAAUUAAUCAGCAUGCUCCGCCGCUUGUGCGGGCCCCCGUCAAUUCCUUUGAGUUUUAGCCUUGCGGCCGUACUCCCCAGGCGGGGCGCUUAAUGCGUUAGCUGCGGCACGGAGACCGUGGAAGGUCCCCACACCUAGCGCCCAACGUUUACGGCAUGGACUAC
This 246-nucleotide unclassified non-coding RNA is filed under the name uncultured Nocardioidaceae bacterium. Its description in RNAcentral is "contains 16S-23S intergenic spacer region". Lineage: Bacteria; Bacillati; Actinomycetota; Actinomycetes; Propionibacteriales; Nocardioidaceae. The record is from RNAcentral.